AACGAACGCUGGCGGCAUGCCUAACACAUGCAAGUCGAACGAGACCUUCGGGUCUAGUGGCGCACGGGUGCGUAACGCGUGGGAACCUGCCCUUAGGUUCGGAAUAACUCCCCGAAAGGGGUGCUAAUACCGGAUAAUGUCUUCGGACCAAAGAUUUAUCGCCUUUGGAUGGGCCCGCGUUGGAUUAGCUAGUUGGUAGGGUAAAAGCCUACCAAGGCGACGAUCCGUAGCUGGUCUGAGAGGAUGAUCAGCCACACUGGGACUGAGACACGGCCCAGACUCCUACGGGAGGCAGCAGUGGGGAAUAUUGGACAAUGGGCGAAAGCCUGAUCCAGCAAUGCCGCGUGAGUGAUGAAGGCCUUAGGGUUGCAAAGCUCUUUUACCCGGGAUGAUAAUGACAGUACCGGGAGAAUAAGCUCCGGCUAACUCCGUG
This 433-nucleotide ribosomal RNA is filed under the name uncultured bacterium. RNAcentral describes it as "partial 16S ribosomal RNA". It matches the Rfam family "Bacterial small subunit ribosomal RNA", at positions 29 to 507 of the family's 1533-position model. The record is from RNAcentral.